RNAcentral lists this ribosomal RNA (682 nucleotides) under uncultured Ascomycota. RNAcentral's name for it is "SSU rRNA". It matches the Rfam family "Eukaryotic small subunit ribosomal RNA", at positions 564 to 1252 of the family's 1831-position model. The record is from RNAcentral. Lineage: Eukaryota; Fungi; Ascomycota.
GUGCCAGCCGCCGCGGUAAUUCCAGCUCCAAUAGCGUAUAUUAAAGUUGUUGUGGUUAAAAAGCUCGUAGUUGAACCUUGGGCCUGGCUGGCCGGUCCGCCUCACCGCGUGCACUGGUCCGGCCGGGCCUUUCCCUCUGUGGAACCCCAUACCCUUCACUGGGCGUGGCGGGGAAACAGGACAUUUACUUUGAAAAAAUUAGAGUGCUCCAGGCAGGCCUAUGCUCGAAUACAUUAGCAUGGAAUAAUAAAAUAGGACGCGCGGUUCUAUUUUGUUGGUUUAUAGGACCGCCGUAGUGAUUAAUAGGGACAGUCGGGGGCAUAAGUAUUCAACUGUCAGAGGUGAAAUUCUUGGAUCAGUUGAAGACUAACUACUGCGAAAGCAUUUGCCAAGGAUGUUUUCAUUAAUCAGGAACGAAAGUUAGGGGAUCGAAGACGAUCAGAUACCGUCGUAGUCUUAACCAUAAACUAUGCCGACUAGGGAUCGGACGGUGUUAUUCAUGACCCGUUCGGCACCUUACGAGAAAUCAAAGUGCUUGGGCUCCAGGGGGAGUAUGGUCGCAAGGCUGAAACUUAAAGAAAUUGACGGAAGGGCACCACCAGGGGUGGAGCCUGCGGCUUUAAUUUGACUCAACACGGGGAAACUCACCAGGUCCAGACACAAUAAGGAUUGACAGAUUGAG